UUGACACUGAACACUGGUCCUUGAUGUGUAGGAUAGGUGGGAGGCUUUGAAGCGUGGACGCCAGUCUGCGUGGAGCCAUCCUUGAAAUACCACCCUUUAAUGGCUGGUGUUCUAACGUAGACCCGUGAUCCGGGUUGCGGACAGUGUCUGGUGGGGAAU
This 159-nucleotide ribosomal RNA is filed under the name Enterobacter hormaechei subsp. xiangfangensis. RNAcentral describes it as "partial 23S ribosomal RNA". It matches the Rfam family "Bacterial large subunit ribosomal RNA", at positions 2111 to 2269 of the family's 2925-position model. Lineage: Bacteria; Pseudomonadati; Pseudomonadota; Gammaproteobacteria; Enterobacterales; Enterobacteriaceae. The record is from RNAcentral.